Molecule: ribosomal RNA, 254 nt
Filed under: uncultured bacterium
Lineage: Bacteria
Description: partial 16S ribosomal RNA
Rfam family: Bacterial small subunit ribosomal RNA
Source: RNAcentral
UACGAAGGGGGCUAGCGUUGUUCGGAAUUACUGGGCGUAAAGCGCGCGUAGGCGGCUUUGCAAGCCAGGGGUGAAAUGCCUGAGCUCAACUUGGGAAUUGCCUUUGGGACUGCGAGGCUUUGAGGACGGGAGAGGUGAGUGGAAUUCCCAGUGUAGAGGUGAAGUUCGUAGAUAUUGGGAAGAACACCGGUGGCGAAGGCGGCUCACUGGCCCGUUUCUGACGCUGAAGCGCGAAAGGGUGGGGAUCAAACAGG